GCAUCGCUGGGUAGCUAUGUGUGGACGGGAUAAGUGCUGAAAGCAUCUAAGCAUGAAGCCCCCCUCAAGAUGAGAUUUCCCAUUACGCAAGUAAGUAAGAUCCCUCAAAGACGAUGAGGUAGAUAGGUUCGAGGUGGAAGUGUGGUGACACAUGGAGCUGACGAAUACUAAUCGAUCGAGGACUUAACCA
RNAcentral lists this ribosomal RNA (190 nucleotides) under Lysinibacillus fusiformis. RNAcentral's name for it is "23S rRNA. Bacterial LSU". It matches the Rfam family "Bacterial large subunit ribosomal RNA", at positions 2735 to 2925 of the family's 2925-position model. Lineage: Bacteria; Bacillati; Bacillota; Bacilli; Caryophanales; Bacillaceae. The record is from RNAcentral.